Misgurnus anguillicaudatus (oriental weatherfish) is the source of this 430-nucleotide non-coding RNA. The record is from RefSeq and is a predicted model, not a curated record. Lineage: Eukaryota; Metazoa; Chordata; Actinopteri; Cypriniformes; Cobitidae.
AGUGAGCUGUGCUGAACUGGGUCAUACUAUGCAGUGGAAAGGCGCCAAAAGUGUCCUACUUCGUGGCUUGAAGGAUUUAGCAGUUUCAGCGUUGGACUUGUAAUUCUGCGUGUUUGGCCUCUUUAGCACUUGCUGUUUGAAAGUCAUUGCUUGCAACAGAUUGAGCGACUGUCAUUCUGCAUUUCUGUUUGCAUUGGUUUGCUUGCAUUUUGAAUCCUUCGCAAUAAUAACUUCGCAAAAAGUUUUACAUUUGAACUGUAGUUGUAGAUUCAAGUUUGUUUUUCCUUGAUAUAAUGUAUUUAUAUAGAUUUUUACAAUUAUUUAUCAUGCAGUGCUUCAUAUAUGAGAAAGACAACGCUUGAAGAACCACACAACACUCAUAUUAAUGUAUGUGUCAUAUUAAUAAAAAUAAACAAGUCUUUGCACUUCA